AUUGAACGCUGGCGGCAUGCCUUACACAUGCAAGUCGAACGGCAGCAUGGAAGAGCUUGCUCUUCUGAUGGCGAGUGGCGAACGGGUGAGUAAAGCAUCGGAACGUACCGUGUAGUGGGGGAUAACGUAGCGAAAGUUACGCUAAUACCGCAUACGCACUGAGGUGGAAAGCAGGGGAUCGCAAGACCUUGCGCUAUACGAGCGGCCGAUGUCAGAUUAGCUAGUUGGUAGGGUAAAGGCCUACCAAGGCGACGAUCUGUAGCGGGGUCUGAGAGGAUGAUCCGCCACACUGGGACUGAGACACGGCCCAGACUCCUACGGGAGGGCAGCAGU
This 333-nucleotide ribosomal RNA is filed under the name uncultured bacterium. Its description in RNAcentral is "bacterial SSU rRNA". It matches the Rfam family "Bacterial small subunit ribosomal RNA", at positions 30 to 355 of the family's 1533-position model. The record is from RNAcentral.